CUCACUUUUCAUUUCUCACAAACCAAAACACCACAAUCUGGUAACUGUAACCUUCAAAACAACAACCCCAAAAUAAACAGCCAAACACAUCCUUAAUACACUAUGAGUUUGAAGUAACUAACUUUUCAACUGUUAAAAGACCUUGGAAUCUCUAUCUGUCACUGGGUUUUGUUAGAGUAGUCUGGGUGUAGAGAGUAAUUGGGAAAUGGCAACUGAUAUGGAUCAUCAUUAUCAUCAUAGCUAUUGUGGCAAUGAAUGGUCACAAACUGAGGUACCAUUAGAGGGCCAACAAUCUCAGGUUGUUUCCAUCUCUGACAUUCUGGAUCAUGGUUCAAUAUCUUUUGGAAGAUUUGCUGUCGAAUCACUUGCAUGGGAAAAGCGGUCAGUGUU
Molecule: long non-coding RNA, 390 nt
Organism: Quercus lobata
Lineage: Eukaryota; Viridiplantae; Streptophyta; Magnoliopsida; Fagales; Fagaceae
Exons: 3
Source: RefSeq, a predicted model, not a curated record